GGGGGCGCCAAGGUUUCGACGGGGGCUCUGAAGCAGGACUAGCGGGCAGAGGCGCAUAUCCUCUUUAAAAUGUGCAAACUUAUAAAUUAAACAACAACAAUAAAGUUGCUAUCGCUGCCUAAUUAAAGGCGGCCGUCCUUGCCGGAAGGGCCACGAGCCGGAUAAGGGCGUGGAUGAGUGGCGUCCGUGCGUGCGCAAAGCUUUGAGCGCACCAUGCAUCAUGAAGCUACUGAGCCGUAAAGCUUGACGACCGGCGUUGCGGUGAGGGAAUGGAAAGGAUCGUCUGCGCCCGGAGAAGGACCUGUGGAUCGGCUUUCGGACAGGGGUUCGAUUCCCCUCGCCUCCACCA
RNAcentral lists this transfer-messenger RNA (349 nucleotides) under Candidatus Pseudobutyricicoccus lothianensis. RNAcentral's name for it is "Pseudobutyricicoccus lothianensis Standard tmRNA". It matches the Rfam family "transfer-messenger RNA". Rfam says of the family: Bacterial tmRNA, also known as 10Sa RNA or SsrA, is named for its dual tRNA and mRNA-like properties. Its role is to liberate the mRNA from a stalled ribosome. RNAcentral also lists the same sequence under 1 other name. The record is from RNAcentral. Lineage: Bacteria; Bacillati; Bacillota; Clostridia.